GACGAACCGAGCGAACGUUAUUCGGAAUCACUGGGCUUAAAGGGCGCGUAGGCGGGCCAUCAAGUCAGGGGUGAAAGCCCCCAGCUCAACUGGGGAAGUGCCUCUGAUACUGGUGGCCCCGAGGGAGGUAGGGGCGUGCGGAACUUCCGGUGGAGCGGUGAAAUGCGUAGAUAUCGGAAGGAACAUCGGUGGCGAAAGCGGCGCGCUGGACCUCUUCUGACGCUGAGGCGCGAAAGCCAGGGGAGCAAACGGG
RNAcentral lists this ribosomal RNA (253 nucleotides) under uncultured bacterium. Its description in RNAcentral is "partial 16S ribosomal RNA". It matches the Rfam family "Bacterial small subunit ribosomal RNA", at positions 524 to 776 of the family's 1533-position model. The record is from RNAcentral.